This 301-nucleotide ribosomal RNA is filed under the name uncultured bacterium. RNAcentral's name for it is "partial 16S ribosomal RNA". It matches the Rfam family "Bacterial small subunit ribosomal RNA", at positions 509 to 807 of the family's 1533-position model. The record is from RNAcentral.
CAGCCGCCACGGUAAUACGAGGGGUGCAAGCGUUACUCGGAAUUACUGGGCGUAAAGCGCACGCAGGCGGUCUGACAAGUCAGAUGUGGAAUCCCCGGGCUUAACCUGGGAACUGCAUUUGAAACUGUCAGGCUGGAGUCUUGUAGAGGGGGGUGGAAUUCCAGGUGUAGCGGUGAAAUGCGUAGAGAUCUGGAGGAAUACCGGUGGCGAAGGCGGCCCCCUGGACAAAGACUGACGCUCAGGUGCGAAAGCGUGGGGAGCAAACAGGAUUAGAUACCCCUGUAGUCCCUGUCUCUUAUAC